This is a small nucleolar RNA of Bombina bombina (fire-bellied toad), 133 nucleotides long. RefSeq annotates it as small nucleolar RNA SNORA27. The transcript has a single exon. NCBI's taxonomy places the organism in Eukaryota, Metazoa, Chordata, Amphibia, Anura, Bombinatoridae. The record is from RefSeq and is a predicted model, not a curated record.
AAAAGCCCCUUCACUUUACCAUGUAGAUUUGCUCAAGUCUAUUUUGGUCAUUCAAGGGGGCAAUAGUAAAUAACCUCAUAAAACCCAAGCAAAUGCUCUGUAUUUGUCUUGUGUCCUGUCUGAGGGAACACUU